CUUCACCGACCCGAGCCACAACGGCCGUUCCUCCGUGUGCUCCCGCCCGUACGUCGCCAGCAGGGCAUGCGCCUC
RNAcentral lists this antisense RNA (75 nucleotides) under Streptomyces olindensis. RNAcentral describes it as "Aspks sRNA". It matches the Rfam family "ASpks TB sRNA". Lineage: Bacteria; Bacillati; Actinomycetota; Actinomycetes; Kitasatosporales; Streptomycetaceae. The record is from RNAcentral.